This 230-nucleotide ribosomal RNA is filed under the name Silene regia (royal catchfly). The record is from RNAcentral. Lineage: Eukaryota; Viridiplantae; Streptophyta; Magnoliopsida; Caryophyllales; Caryophyllaceae.
UCACGCAUCGCGUCUCCCCCAAAUCCACCCAGAGUGGAGGGGAAGGAGGAUGGUCUCCCGCGACUCACCGGUUGCGGCUGGCCUAAAAUUGGAGCCCUCAGCAUCGGGAUGCUGUGGCGAUAGGUGGUGAACAAGGCCUCGGCCAAGCAAGCAACCCGCCGCGGGUGGUGAUGCCAACGUGAGCUCGAAGGACCCUUUUAGUUGCCUAACGGCAACCUAACCGUUGCGAC